Molecule: long non-coding RNA, 428 nt
Filed under: Ananas comosus (pineapple)
Lineage: Eukaryota; Viridiplantae; Streptophyta; Magnoliopsida; Poales; Bromeliaceae
Description: long non-coding RNA (ACOM_LNC040641)
Source: RNAcentral
UCGUCCUCCCCCGCCACCGCAGCCAACGAGGUAGAGUUCCGGCGGUUGCUAGAUACUUAAAUAAAUAUUGGUAAAUUAGCAGCACUCUUUUAGAUUAUAGCAACACUCUUUAACUGUCACUAUAUACCUAGCGACCCCACAUAUAGCAACACUUUUCAAAAGUGUCGGUAAAUUUAGCCAGCAGCACUUUUUUGACCUAUACCGACAUUUAAAAGUGUCGCUAUAGACCGUUUUUGUUGUAGUGAUUGGACUUUAUAUUUAGUCAUUAGUAGGAUUUUUUUUAAGUUUUGGCAUAAAUAUGACACUUAUACAAAAGUGUCCCAAACAUGUGUCGCUAUAACCUAAUUCUGUUAUAGUGUCAUGGUGAUGUUACAUGUGAAUUAACUAUUCACUUAACCUAUGUUUUUGCAACGCAUACCUAUAACUCC